AUUGAACGCUGGCGGCAGGCCUAACACAUGCAAGUCGAGCGGAUGAAGGGAGCUUGCUCCUGGAUUCAGCGGCGGACGGGUGAGUAAUGCCUAGGAAUCUGCCUGGUAGUGGGGGAUAACGUCCGGAAACGGGCGCUAAUACCGCAUAAGUCCUGAGGGAGAAAGUGGGGGAUCUUCGGACCUCACGCUCUCAGAUGAGCCUAGGUCGGAUUAGCUAGUUGGUGGGGUAAAGGCCUACCAAGGCGACGAUCCGUAGCUGGUCUGAGAGGAUGAUCAGUCACACUGGAACUGAGACACGGUCCAGACUCCUACGGGAGGCAGCAGUGGGGAAUAUUGGACAAUGGGCGAAAGCCUGAUCCAGCCAUGCCGCGUGUGUGAAGAAGGUCUUCGGAUUGUAAAGCACUUUAAGUUGGGAGGAAGGGCAGUAAGUUAAUACCUUGCUGUUUUGACGUUACCAACAGAAUAAGCACCGGCUAACUUCGUG
RNAcentral lists this ribosomal RNA (484 nucleotides) under uncultured bacterium. RNAcentral describes it as "partial 16S ribosomal RNA". It matches the Rfam family "Bacterial small subunit ribosomal RNA", at positions 30 to 507 of the family's 1533-position model. The record is from RNAcentral.